RNAcentral lists this transfer RNA (106 nucleotides) under mine drainage metagenome. Its description in RNAcentral is "tRNA-Leu". It matches the Rfam family "tRNA". From Rfam's summary of the family: Transfer RNA (tRNA) molecules are approximately 80 nucleotides in length. Their secondary structure includes four short double-helical elements and three loops (D, anti-codon, and T loops). The record is from RNAcentral.
GCGGGGAUAGCCAAGCCCGGAAACGGCGCAGGACUUAAACGCCGGCGGCCCCGGCGAAGAGAUCCUGCCGCGAAGGCGUUCGCCGGUUCAAAUCCGGCUCCCCGCA